GUUAGACGAACGGUCUGGAAAGUCCGACGAUACAGGGUGAUAGUCCCGUAGUUGACGACGUGUGUUCAGUGAAAUCGAGUAGGGCGGGACACGUGAUAUCCUGUCUGAAUAUGGGGGGACCAUCCUCCAAGGCUAAAUACUACUGACUGACCGAUAGUGAACCAGUACCGUGAGGGAAAGGCGAAAAGAACCCCUGUGAGGGGAGUGAAAUAGAACCUGAAACCGUGUACGUACAAGCAGUAGGAGCAGGCUUUGUCCUGUGACUGCGUACCUUUUGUAUAAUGGGUCAGCGACUUAUAUUCAGUGGCAAGGUUAACCAUCUAGGGGAGCCGUAGGGAAACCGAGUCUUAACUGGGCGUUCAGUCUCUGGAUAUAGACCCGAAACCAGGUGAUCUAGCCAUGGGCAGGUUGAAGGUUGAGUAACAUCAACUGGAGGACCGAACCGACUAAUGUUGAAAAAUUAGCGGAUGACUUGUGGCUAGGGGUGAAAGGCCAAUCAAACCUGGAGAUAGCUGGUUCUCCCCGAAAGCUAUUUAGGUAGCGCCUCGGACGAAUACUACUGGGGGUAGAGCACUGUUAAGGCUAGGGGGUCAUCCCGACUUACCAACCCUUUGCAAACUCCGAAUACCAGUAAGUACUAUCCGGGAGACACACGGCGGGUGCUAACGUCCGUCGUGGAGAGGGAAACAACCCAGACCGCCAGCUAAGGUCCCAAAUUACUACUAAGUGGGAAACGAUGUGGGAAGGCUCAGACAGCCAGGAUGUUGGCUUAGAAGCAGCCAUCAUUUAAAGAAAGCGUAAUAGCUCACUGGUCGAGUCGGCCUGCGCGGAAGAUGUAACGGGGCUAAGUAGUAAACCGAAGCUGCGGCAAUGUGCUUUUGCACAUUGGGUAGGGGAGCGUUCUGUAAGCGGUUGAAGGUGUGUGGUAACG
RNAcentral lists this ribosomal RNA (931 nucleotides) under Vibrio parahaemolyticus. Its description in RNAcentral is "partial 23S ribosomal RNA". It matches the Rfam family "Bacterial large subunit ribosomal RNA", at positions 328 to 1268 of the family's 2925-position model. The record is from RNAcentral. Lineage: Bacteria; Pseudomonadati; Pseudomonadota; Gammaproteobacteria; Vibrionales; Vibrionaceae.